Molecule: transfer RNA, 75 nt
Filed under: Candidatus Ruthia magnifica str. Cm (Calyptogena magnifica)
Lineage: Bacteria; Pseudomonadati; Pseudomonadota; Gammaproteobacteria; Pseudothioglobaceae (SeqCode)
Also listed under: 1 other name
Description: tRNA-Gln (TTG) (tRNA-Gln-TTG-1-1)
Rfam family: tRNA
About the family: Transfer RNA (tRNA) molecules are approximately 80 nucleotides in length. Their secondary structure includes four short double-helical elements and three loops (D, anti-codon, and T loops).
Source: RNAcentral
UGGGCUGUCGCCAAGCGGUAAGGCAACGGGUUUUGAUCCCGUCAUUCGCAGGUUCAAAUCCUGCCAGCCCAGCCA